RNAcentral lists this ribosomal RNA (116 nucleotides) under Sorex araneus (European shrew). Lineage: Eukaryota; Metazoa; Chordata; Mammalia; Eulipotyphla; Soricidae. The record is from RNAcentral.
AGUUCAAACACCACCCUGAAUGUGCCCGAUCUUGUCUGAUCUCAGAAGCUAAGCAGGGUCGGGCCUGGUUAGUAUUUGGAUGGGAGUUAUAACUUUCUAAUUUGGUGUAUGUAGUU